GUGGCGCACGGGUGCGUAACACGUAUGCAACCUACCUUAUACUGGGGGAUAGCCUUUGGAAACGGAGAUUAAUACCCCAUAGUACAUUUGAUUGGCAUCAAUUAAAUGUUAAAGAUUUAUCGGUAUAAGCUGGGCAUGUGUCCAAUUAGUUAGUUGGUGAGGUAAUGGCUCACCAAGACUUUGAUUGGUAGGGGAACUGAGAGGUUAAUCCCCCACACUGGCACUGAGAUACGGGCCAGACUCCUACGGGAGGCAGCAGUAGGGAAUAUUGGGCAAUGGAGGCAACUCUGACCCAGCCAUGCCGCGUGCAGGAAGAAGGCGUUAUGCGUUGUAAACUGCUUUUAUAUAGGAAGAAAUAGUCCUUGCGAGGAAAGUUGACGGUACUAUAUGAAUAAGCACCGGCUAACUCCGUGCCAGCAGCCGCGGUAAUACGGAGGGUGCAAGCGUUGUCCGGAUUUAUUGGGUUUAAAGGGUGCGUAGGCGGUUUAUUAAGUCAGUGGUGAAAGACGGUCGCUCAACGAUUGCAGUGCCAUUGAUACUGGUAGACUUGAGUGGGAUUGAGGUAGCUGGAAUGGAUAGUGUAGCGGUGAAAUGCAUAGAUAUUAUCCAGAACACCAAUUGCGUAGGCAAGUUACUAAGUCUCAACUGACGCUGAGGCACGAAAGUGUGGGUAUCAAACAGGAUUAGAUACCCUGGUAGUCCACACUGUAAACGAUGAUAACUAACUGUUGGCUUUCGGGUCAG
RNAcentral lists this ribosomal RNA (744 nucleotides) under uncultured bacterium. RNAcentral describes it as "bacterial SSU rRNA". It matches the Rfam family "Bacterial small subunit ribosomal RNA", at positions 95 to 843 of the family's 1533-position model. The record is from RNAcentral.